UUGCCAGCCCGCUCAGUCAGAGUUUGAUCCUGGCUCAGAUUGAACGCUGGCGGCAUGCCUUACACAUGCAAGUCGAACGGCAGCACGGACUUCGGUCUGGUGGCGAGUGGCGAACGGGUGAGUAAUAUAUCGGAACAUACCCAGUAGUGGGGGAUAACUAUCCGAAAGGAUAGCUAAUACCGCAUACGAUCUGUGGAUGAAAGCAGGGGAUCUUCGGACCUUGUGCUAUUGGAAUGGCCGAUAUCUGAUUAGCUAGUUGGUAGGGUAAAAGCCUACCAAGCGACGAUCAGUAGCUGGUCUGAGAGGACGACCAGCCACACCGGAACUGAGACACGGUCCAG
This 341-nucleotide ribosomal RNA is filed under the name uncultured bacterium. RNAcentral describes it as "bacterial SSU rRNA". It matches the Rfam family "Bacterial small subunit ribosomal RNA", at positions 1 to 334 of the family's 1533-position model. The record is from RNAcentral.